Echinops telfairi (small Madagascar hedgehog) is the source of this 75-nucleotide small nucleolar RNA. NCBI's taxonomy places the organism in Eukaryota, Metazoa, Chordata, Mammalia, Afrosoricida, Tenrecidae. The record is from Ensembl.
CGGACCAAUGUCGAUCAGCGAUGAGAUCUGAAUCGUGGACAGUGACUAGUGUGUGUCUGGAACUCUGAGGUCCAA